Pediculus humanus corporis (human body louse) is the source of this 120-nucleotide non-coding RNA. NCBI's taxonomy places the organism in Eukaryota, Metazoa, Arthropoda, Insecta, Psocodea, Pediculidae. The record is from Rfam.
GCCAACGGCCAUAGCGUGCUGGUUCACACCGGUUCCUGUACGAUCACCGAAGUUAAGCAGCAUCGGGCGUGGUGCAAACUUGGAUGGGUGACCGUCUGAGAACGCCACGUGCUGUUGGCU